GCAUUGGUUGUUCAGUUGGUAGAAUUCUCGCCUGCCACGCGGGAGGCCCGGGUUCGAUUCCCGGCCAAUGCA
Molecule: non-coding RNA, 72 nt
Organism: Oncorhynchus gorbuscha (pink salmon)
Lineage: Eukaryota; Metazoa; Chordata; Actinopteri; Salmoniformes; Salmonidae
Source: the annotation of a RefSeq genome assembly